CCUCUCAGUUUUAAUUAAACUUACACAUGCAAGUCUCCUCGCUCCAGUGAAACGCCCUUUACCUCCCACUUAGAGGCAAAGGAGUUGGUAUCAGGCUCAAAUUGCCCCAAGACACCUAGCUUUGCCACACCUCCAAAGGAAUUCAGCAGUGGAUUAAUUUUAAACAUUAGCGCAAGCUAAACUUAGUUAUAAUUUAAAUAGUCGGUCAAUUUCGUGCCAGCCACCGCGGUUAUACGGAAGACUAAAACUGAAAGACAACGGCGUAAAGCGUGAUUAGGGAAAUUCACUUCUAAAGCCAAACUCUAAUCUUAUUGUUAUAAAUUAAUAUUAGCAGGAAACCCAAUAACGAAAGUAACUUUACCCACUCCUGAACUCACGGUAGCCAAGACCCAAACUGGGAUUAGAUACCCCACUAUGCUUGGCCUCAAACUUUGACUAAUUACAGUUAUCUCCGCCAGGGAACUACGAGCACAGCUUAAAACCCAAAGGACUUGGCGGUGUCCUAUACCACCUAGAGGAGCCUGUUCUUUAAUCGAUAAUCCACGAUCCACCUCACCAUUUCUUGCCUAAACAGCUUAUAUACCGCCGUCGUCAAUUUUCCCUUUGAAGGACUAAAAGAAAGUUUAAAGGCCCCCACCAAAACGUCAGGUCAAGGUGUAGCGAAUGAAAUGGGAAGAAAUGGGCUACAUUUUCUAAGAUAGACUAGACGGAUAAUCAAUAUGAAAUCUGAUCAUGAAGGAGGAUUUAGCAGUAAAAAGAAAUCAGCAAGUUCUUUUUAACACGGCCCUAGGACGCGCACACACCGCCCGUCACCCUCUUCGACUCUUUAAAUUAUUUAAUUAAUCAACCAUCCUGAAUUCUAGAAGAGGCAAGUCGUAACAUGGUAAGUAUACCGGAAGGUGUACUUGGA
This 910-nucleotide non-coding RNA is filed under the name Leptobrachium nigrops (black-eyed litter frog). RNAcentral describes it as "partial 12S rRNA". It matches the Rfam family "Bacterial small subunit ribosomal RNA". The record is from RNAcentral. Lineage: Eukaryota; Metazoa; Chordata; Amphibia; Anura; Megophryidae.